This 433-nucleotide ribosomal RNA is filed under the name uncultured bacterium. RNAcentral's name for it is "partial 16S ribosomal RNA". It matches the Rfam family "Bacterial small subunit ribosomal RNA", at positions 29 to 507 of the family's 1533-position model. The record is from RNAcentral.
AACGAACGCUGGCGGCAUGCCUAACACAUGCAAGUCGAACGAUGCUUUCGGGCAUAGUGGCGCACGGGUGCGUAACGCGUGGGAAUCUGCCCUUGGGUUCGGAAUAACGGUGAGAAAUUGCUGCUAAUACCGGAUGAUGUCUUCGGACCAAAGAUUUAUCGCCCAGGGAUGAGCCCGCGUAGGAUUAGCUAGUUGGUGGGGUAAUGGCCUACCAAGGCGACGAUCCUUAGCUGGUCUGAGAGGAUGAUCAGCCACACUGGGACUGAGACACGGCCCAGACUCCUACGGGAGGCAGCAGUGGGGAAUAUUGGACAAUGGGCGCAAGCCUGAUCCAGCAAUGCCGCGUGAGUGAUGAAGGCCUUAGGGUUGUAAAGCUCUUUUACCCGGGAUGAUAAUGACAGUACCGGGAGAAUAAGCUCCGGCUAACUCCGUG